RNAcentral lists this ribosomal RNA (389 nucleotides) under uncultured bacterium. Its description in RNAcentral is "bacterial SSU rRNA". It matches the Rfam family "Bacterial small subunit ribosomal RNA", at positions 28 to 417 of the family's 1533-position model. The record is from RNAcentral.
GACGAACGCUGGCGGCGUGCUUAACACAUGCAAGUCGAGCGGUAAGGCCCUUUCGGGGGUACGACGAGCGGCGAACGGGUGAGUAACACGUGGGUGACCUGCCCUCAGCUCUGGGAUAAGCCUGGGAAACCGGGUCUAAUACUGGAUAUGACUCCAUGACGCAUGUUGUGGGGUGGAAAGCCUUGUGCGGCUGAGGAUGGGCCCGCGGCCUAUCAGCUUGUUGGUGGGGGAUGGCCUACCAAGGCGACGACGGGUAGCCGGCCUGAGAGGGCGACCGGGCCACACUGGGACUGAGACACGGCCCAGACUCCUACGGGAGGCAGCAGUGGGGAAUCUUGCGCAAUGGGCGAAAGCCUGACGCAGCGACGCCGCGUGAGGGAUGACGGCCU